RNAcentral lists this ribosomal RNA (408 nucleotides) under uncultured bacterium. RNAcentral's name for it is "partial 16S ribosomal RNA". It matches the Rfam family "Bacterial small subunit ribosomal RNA", at positions 28 to 526 of the family's 1533-position model. The record is from RNAcentral.
GACGAACGCUGGCGGCGUGCUUAACACAUGCACGUCGCACGAAGUGGCGAACGGGUGAGUAACGCGUAAUCAACCUGCCCUUCAGAGGGGGACAACAGUUGGAAACGACUGCUAAUACCGCAUACUGAAGGAGGGGAUUGCGUCUGAUUAGCUAGUUGGAGGGGUAACGGCCCACAAGGGCGCUGAUCAGUAGACGUGCUGAGAGAAGGAACGGCCAAUUUGGGACGGAUACACGGCCCAGACUCCUACGGGAGGCAGCAGUGGGGAAUCGGCCGCAAUGGACGAAAGUCUGACGGAGCAACGCCGCGUGAGUGAUGACGGCCUUCGGGUUGUAAAGCGCUGUUAAUCGGGACGCGGUACCGGAAUAGAAAGCCACGGCUAACUACGUGCCAGCAGCCGCGGUAAUAC